RNAcentral lists this unclassified non-coding RNA (352 nucleotides) under soil metagenome. RNAcentral describes it as "partial contains 5.8S ribosomal RNA, internal transcribed spacer 2, and large subunit ribosomal RNA". The stretch from base 1 to 120 matches the Rfam family "5.8S ribosomal RNA", at positions 35 to 154 of the family's 154-position model. The record is from RNAcentral.
GAUGAAGAACGCAGCGAAAUGCGAUAAGUAAUGUGAAUUGCAGAAUUCAGUGAAUCAUCGAAUCUUUGAACGCACAUUGCGCCCGCCAGUAUUCUGGCGGGCAUGCCUGUUCGAGCGUCAUUACAACCCUCAGGCCCCCGGGCCUGGCGUUGGGGAUCGGCGGAGCCCCCCGUGGGCACACGCCGUCCCCCAAAUGCAGUGGCGGUCCCGCCGCAGCUUCCAUCGCGUAGUAGCUAACACCUCGCGACUGGAGAGCGGCGCGGCCACGCCGUAAAACACCCAACUCUUCUGAAGUUGACCUCGAAUCAGGUAGGAAUACCCGCUGAACUUAAGCAUAUCAAUAAGCGGAAGA